GAUGAAGAACGCAGUGAAAUGCGAUAAGUAAUGCGAAUUGCAGAAUUCAGUGAGUCAUCGAAUCUUUGAACGCACAUUGCGCCCUGUGGUAUUCCGCAGGGCAUGCCUGUUCGAGCGUCAUUUCAACCCUCAAGCCCCGCUUGGUGUUGGGCCCCGCCCGCCGUGGCCGGCCCUAAAGACAGUGGCGGCGCCGCCUGGCCCUCAGCGUAGUACAGCUCUCGCUCCAGGGUCCGGCGGCCGCCUGCCAGAACCCCCCAACUCUGUGGUUGACCUCGGAUCAGGUAGGGAUACCCGCUGAACUUAAGCAUAUCAAUAAGCGGAGGA
Molecule: unclassified non-coding RNA, 324 nt
Filed under: soil metagenome
Description: partial contains 5.8S ribosomal RNA, internal transcribed spacer 2, and large subunit ribosomal RNA
Rfam family: 5.8S ribosomal RNA (bases 1-120)
Source: RNAcentral